AUUGAACGCUGGCGGCAUGCCUUACACAUGCAAGUCGAACGGCAGCAUAGGAGCUUGCUCCUGAUGGCGAGUGGCGAACGGGUGAGUAAUAUAUCGGAACGUGCCCUAGAGUGGGGGAUAACUAGUCGAAAGACUAGCUAAUACCGCAUACGAUCUACGGAUGAAAGUGGGGGAUCGCAAGACCUCAUGCUCCUGGAGCGGCCGAUAUCUGAUUAGCUAGUUGGUGGGGUAAAAGCCUACCAAGGCAACGAUCAGUAGCUGGCCUGAGAGGACGACCAGCCACACUGGGACUGAGACACGGCCCAGACUCCUACGGGAGGCAGCAGUGGGGAAUUUUGGACAAUGGGGGCAACCCUGAUCCAGCAAUGCCGCGUGAGUGAAGAAGGCCUUCGGGUUGUAAAGCUCUUUUGUCAGGGAAGAAACGGUAGUAGCGAAUAACUACUACUAAUGACGGUACCUGAAGUAUAAGCACCGGCUAACUACGUGCCAGCCGCCGCAGUAA
This 502-nucleotide ribosomal RNA is filed under the name uncultured bacterium. Its description in RNAcentral is "partial 16S ribosomal RNA". It matches the Rfam family "Bacterial small subunit ribosomal RNA", at positions 30 to 523 of the family's 1533-position model. The record is from RNAcentral.